RNAcentral lists this ribosomal RNA (497 nucleotides) under uncultured bacterium. RNAcentral describes it as "partial 16S ribosomal RNA". It matches the Rfam family "Bacterial small subunit ribosomal RNA", at positions 28 to 507 of the family's 1533-position model. The record is from RNAcentral.
GAUGAACGCUGGCGGCGUGCCUAAUACAUGCAAGUCGAACGCACAGCGAAAGGUGCUUGCACCUUUCAAGUGAGUGGCGAACGGGUGAGUAACACGUGGACAACCUGCCUCAAGGCUGGGGAUAACAUUUGGAAACAGAUGCUAAUACCGAAUAAAACUUAGUGUCGCAUGACACAAAGUUAAAAGGCGCUUCGGCGUCACCUAGAGAUGGAUCCGCGGUGCAUUAGUCAGUUGGUGGGGUAAAGGCCUACCAAGACAAUGAUGCAUAGCCGAGUUGAGAGACUGAUCGGCCACAUUGGGACUGAGACACGGCCCAAACUCCUACGGGAGGCUGCAGUAGGGAAUCUUCCACAAUGGGCGAAAGCCUGAUGGAGCAACGCCGCGUGUGUGAUGAAGGCUUUCGGGUCGUAAAGCACUGUUGUAUGGGAAGAACAGCUAGAAUAGGAAAUGAUUUUAGUUUGACGGUACCAUACCAGAAAGGGACGGCUAAAUACGUG